AAACGGUUAACGUGUAUAGCUUUGAGUGUUUCGACGUAUUAAGUUUCGUGUUAAUUAAAAUGUGUUUGAAAUGUGGAUGGAUAAUUUUGACAAUUUUGUCAAAUGCAUACCAUAUUGGCGCUCAGAUUCCAGUCUUGACAUCCAACGCAACAUUGGUAAAUGUUAACGAAGCCUUACAAUUAACCUGCACACAUUCGACUUCAACAGCUGUAAGAUGGUAUCAUCAAUCAGCAGGGGAUAGCACCUCAUCUACUAUCCUUGCACUGAACAACGCCUGUGAGUUUGCACCCACGCCUAUACCAGAUGUAUUUUCUACCUGCAUGUGCAAAGGAACGAUAUUUAUGUGCACAUUGAGAUCCCUGGACACAAUUAAUAAUGGGGACGAGUGGAAGUGUUCGGUAACAGAAAACAAACAAGCAAUAUUCAGUAAUGAGAUAACAAUAAUAAUAACAGUUCCCGUAGUAUGUGCAACUCUGACACCAGAUGUACCUACCAUAUCCGUUUACCCAACAUGGCAAUCAGCUACAUACGCUGCGUAUCAUCAGUAGGACUUCCAGCACCAACCAUCACGUGGUACCUUAAUGACAAAAUGCCUUCUGACUACAGUGAUGAUGUGGACCUUACUGGGUAUAGCAGCAGUUUAACAGUAGCUGAUGUGACAUCAAGUAUUCUUACAAUGACGCCUUCCACAAACUAUCAUGAUGCAAGGAUGUACUGUAAUGUCUCUUACAGAUAUGGAAAAAUCAUGUCCAACAGGAUUCUGAGAAUCAAUUUGUUGAGUAUGUGUUUUGUAAAUUUGCAGACAUGUAAUUGAUGUCUUUAGUAUUAUAUUUCUUCGUGGCGUAAGUUAUCCUUUUCUCGUUCAUAAACUGAAUUUGGUAUAAUAAAUGUAUUAACGCCGACUGUUCAAACGAACGUGGUAUGCUUUAUUUGUAUUAAAGUAAUGUAAUUUGCGAUUACUAUCAGUACAUGUCAUGGUAGAAAUGCUGUUAUCAAGUGAAAGUCAACCACCUGAAUAACAAACAUGAAGUAUAUACGUGCAACGCAUAUCACAUAUCUUUCAGUAAAUUAUAUUUAAUGGGCUUUGCAUUAAAAUAACAAAGUUUAUAUUAAUUCGAAUUUCACGGCAUUACGUAUCUCAAAAAGUAAGACCAUGCGUGUAUGCAUUUAUUAUUUUAGGCUAUUCAACUAAGCCGAUAAUAAGGUACAACAUGGUAUUUGCACCAUCAAGUAUAUAUGUGAUAAAAACAGUAGACGCUAGAAUGUUCCUCGUCCGGCAAUCCGCAGCCGAGCUUUUUAUGGACCUUAUUUAACGGCUAUCUAAUUAGCACCUCGGUCAUAACAUAAAACGUUCCAACAAAUAACGACCAGAAACAAAUAGUAUGCAGUGCCGCCAGUGUUUUGGAUCCAACGAAUGGACCGAAGAUAUCGGCUGUAAAUACUACAGUGUUAACUAUGAAUAUUUUAUGUAAGUAUUUUCAGAUAAGAUGUGCCAUUUACGGUGAUUAUAAACUUAUAUAUUCAUUACAGUAAACUGUGUAAUGAUC
Dreissena polymorpha is the source of this 1547-nucleotide long non-coding RNA. RefSeq lists it as uncharacterized. Lineage: Eukaryota; Metazoa; Mollusca; Bivalvia; Myida; Dreissenidae. The transcript has 3 exons. The record is from RefSeq and is a predicted model, not a curated record.